GAUGAACGCUGGCGGCGUGCCUAAUACAUGCAAGUCGAGCGAACGGACGAGAAGCUUGCUUCUCUGAUGUUAGCGGCGGACGGGUGAGUAACACGUGGAUAACCUACCUAUAAGACUGGGAUAACUUCGGGAAACCGGAGCUAAUACCGGAUAAUAUUUUGAACCGCAUGGUUCAAAAGUGAAAGACGGUCUUGCUGUCACUUAUAGAUGGAUCCGCGCUGCAUUAGCUAGUUGGUAAGGUAACGGCUUACCAAGGCAACGAUGCAUAGCCGACCUGAGGGGGUGAUCGGCCACAUUGGAACGUGGACAGGGACCAGAGUCCUGCGGGAGGCAGCAGUAGGGAAUCUGCCGCAAUGGGCGAAAGCCUGACGGAACGACGCCACGCGAGUGAUGAAGGUCUUCGGAUCGUAAAACUCUGUUAUGAGGGAAGAACAGAUGUGUAAGUAAAUGUGCAGAUCGUGACGGUACCUAAUCAGAAAGCCCCGGCUAACUACGUG
RNAcentral lists this ribosomal RNA (497 nucleotides) under uncultured bacterium. RNAcentral describes it as "partial 16S ribosomal RNA". It matches the Rfam family "Bacterial small subunit ribosomal RNA", at positions 28 to 507 of the family's 1533-position model. The record is from RNAcentral.